RNAcentral lists this transfer RNA (72 nucleotides) under Camelus bactrianus (Bactrian camel). It matches the Rfam family "tRNA". From Rfam's summary of the family: Transfer RNA (tRNA) molecules are approximately 80 nucleotides in length. Their secondary structure includes four short double-helical elements and three loops (D, anti-codon, and T loops). Further hydrogen bonds mediate the characteristic L-shaped molecular structure. tRNAs have two regions of fundamental functional importance: the anti-codon, which is responsible for specific mRNA codon recognition, and the 3' end, to which the tRNAs corresponding amino acid is attached (by aminoacyl-tRNA synthetases). tRNAs cope with the degeneracy of the genetic code in two manners: having more than one tRNA (with a specific anti-codon) for a particular amino acid; and 'wobble' base-pairing, i.e. permitting non-standard base-pairing at the 3rd anti-codon position. RNAcentral also lists the same sequence under 2 other names. Lineage: Eukaryota; Metazoa; Chordata; Mammalia; Artiodactyla; Camelidae. The record is from Rfam by way of RNAcentral.
GAGGGUGUAGCUCAGUGGUAGAGCACAUGCUUAGCAUGCAGGAGGUCCUGGGUUCAGCCCCCAGUGCCUUCA